UACCUUUGCAACCGAAUUGGGAACGACCCAAUCUACAUAAUAAUUAUUUAAAUAAAUAUUAGCAUG
Molecule: regulatory RNA element, 66 nt
Organism: Flavobacterium fontis
Lineage: Bacteria; Pseudomonadati; Bacteroidota; Flavobacteriia; Flavobacteriales; Flavobacteriaceae
Rfam family: S15-Flavobacteria ribosomal protein leader
Source: Rfam